Molecule: RNA transcript, 1769 nt
Organism: Panicum hallii
Lineage: Eukaryota; Viridiplantae; Streptophyta; Magnoliopsida; Poales; Poaceae
Exons: 4
Source: RefSeq, a predicted model, not a curated record
CCUAUAAAUUGAGCAGUCCAUGGAGGCCCAAGGCCUCCAAUAAUCGCCCAGCCCAACCAGUGCGGCCUCUUCUUCCUCAUCAUUCUGUCUGUCUGUCCCGGUGUCCCCUGACCUGUGCAAAACUCGCACUCCAGUCUCCUCUCCCCAGCUUCUUGCGAUGCCUCCACCCCAUCGAUAAACCCUAGCUCCUCCCAUCCCAGCUCGUCUCUCCCAUCAGGAUACCAAUACCAGGACCACUAUGCCUGCUGGUGAUAACCCACACUCAAUCUCAGAGAAAAAGGCAGCAUUGCGGGAGUCUCCAAAACAGAGUAAGAUCGUUGUUAACGAGCAACCCAGGACUUCCUUUUCUAAAGACAAAGUUGCUGCUACAGUUAGCCUCAAGCGACAACAGCCUUAUGGCCCCCUGAGUCCAUCCAACCACCACACGCUAGGCAAUCCGGGAGCAAAUGGCCAUCUUGUGUAUGUGCGCAGGAGGCCUGACACUGAUCAAAGCAAAGGAGGCACUUCUGCUCGUGCUGAAAGUGUCAGUUCUAUGAGCACAAAGAAACCUAUUGCAGGAGGAUUGCAGUCACAGGAACAAAGUCUGAAGCAUCAGGACAAUGUAUCUCACACCCAGUUUGCUCCUCGAUUUUCAUCUCCUGCUUUGCAAUCCACAGUUUUGCCGUCUCAACAUUCUUUUGAGAAGCAAUCUCCUGGGAAGGUUGCUGUUCGGCCAACUAAUGAUGUGAUUACUAGUCUGCCACCAAGCAAUGUGGCAUCCUCUACUCCAGUGGUUCAAAGUGCUGCAGCUGCUAAUUUGGCGACUAGCAGUGUUUUGGCUACUAGUGUAGCAGCUACCCUAGCACCUGAUCAAGCUGAUCCACCGAGAUCAAGCAAUCAAGAUUGGAGUGAUAGAUUUAUUCAGCUGCAGGCAUUCUUGAGGAAUAAUGAACAAUCAGGCAAGGAAGAAUAUAUCCGCAGUAAGCAAUCUACAGGAAAGAUUGCUGCUCAGCCAACUAAUGAUCUGACUACUAGUCCGCCACCUCGCAAUGUGAUGUUCUCUACUACAGUGCUUCAAAGCUCUGUGGCUGCUAACUUAGCACCACGCGGUGUUUCAGCUAAUAACACAGCAUCCCGAGCUGCUAUAUCUGCUGCUAAUUUAGUAUCUAGCAGUGUUUCGCCUACUAAUACAGCAUCUACUGAUGCUAUAUCUGCUACAACUCAAGCACCUAAUAGAGCUCAUCCACCAAGAUCAAGCAAUCAAGAUCGAAGUGAUAGAUUUCUUCGGCUGCAAGCAUUCUUGAGAAAUAAUGAGCAAUCAGGGCAGGAAGAAUAUAUCCGCACUGUUGUAUUGAUCUUAUAUAUGUUGUGUCCUUUGGUUGAACUGUAGUGCUUCGGUCUUUGUCAUCUGUUGGACGAAGUAAGCAUGCUAUUGAACUGGAGAAACGGGCAGCCAAUCUAUUGAUCGAGGAAGGGAAGGAGUUGCAGAAGAUGAAAGUUCUGAAUGUACUGGGCAAACUUUCGCCCACUGAUGCUCCAUCAGCUCAGCCCGCUACUGUCAAGCAUCUGCCAUUCCCAGCUCAACGAUGAAGGGAGUGGGAGAUUCGCUUAUGUUGCCGCAUAAUAGGUGUUCAAUGAUUUCUGAACUCUUGCCACCUGAAUGCUGUGUUAUGGUCAUAAUUGCUGUCUUGUCUGUGAGAACAAGCCUUGAAUAUCCAUCCGGAUGAGUUAGAGUAGAUUGACUGACGUGCCCUCAUGGUGUAAGCAUUAUCAUGGUGGUAUCUUACUCA